GCGUCAUAGGAAAGGAGAUGGAGAUAGCCCUCCCCUUCACAGGGAUGGAAGAGGGUCUUGUAGGCCAUUCAGCACAUACACAUUUAAGGCAUUGCUGCCUGCUCAUGCUUUUCUGUUUCCACAAGUAAAAGUGGUU
Small nuclear RNA from Chlorocebus sabaeus (green monkey), 136 nucleotides. The record is from Ensembl. Lineage: Eukaryota; Metazoa; Chordata; Mammalia; Primates; Cercopithecidae.